GGGGAUAUAGCUCAGUUGGUAGAGCGCUGCUUUUGCAUGGCAGAUGUCAGCGGUUCGAGUCCGCUUAUCUCCA
This 73-nucleotide transfer RNA is filed under the name Ochromonas sp. CCMP1393. RNAcentral's name for it is "tRNA-Ala". It matches the Rfam family "tRNA". From Rfam's summary of the family: Transfer RNA (tRNA) molecules are approximately 80 nucleotides in length. Their secondary structure includes four short double-helical elements and three loops (D, anti-codon, and T loops). The record is from RNAcentral. Lineage: Eukaryota; Chrysophyceae; Chromulinales; Chromulinaceae.